AAUGGAGGCAACUCUGACGCAGCAACGCCGCGUGGGUGAAGAAGGCUUUCGGGUUGUAAAGCCCUGUCAGGUGGGAAGAAACCUCUUUGAGUGAAUAGCUCAGGGAACUGACGGUACCACCAAAGGAAGCACCGGCUAACUCCGUGCCAGCAGCCGCGGUAAGACGGAGGGUGCAAGCGUUGUUCGGAAUCACUGGGCGUAAAGCGCGUGUAGGCGGUUCGAUUAGUCGAGUGUGAAAGCCCGAGGCUCAACCUCGGAAGCGCACUCGAAACUGUCGGGCUUGAGUACGGGAGAGGGAAGUGGAAUUCCUGGUGUAGAGGUGAAAUUCGUAGAUAUCAGUAGGAACACCGGUGGCGAAGGCGGCUUCCUGGACCGAUACUGACGCUGAGACGCGAAAGCGUGGGGAGCAAA
RNAcentral lists this ribosomal RNA (411 nucleotides) under uncultured bacterium. Its description in RNAcentral is "bacterial SSU rRNA". It matches the Rfam family "Bacterial small subunit ribosomal RNA", at positions 370 to 772 of the family's 1533-position model. The record is from RNAcentral.